GUGAGUCAUCGAAUCUUUGAACGCACAUUGCGCCCCUUGGUAUUCCGGGGGGCAUGCCUGUUCGAGCGUCAUUUCAACCCUCAAGCUCUGCUUGGUCUUGGGCCGCGCCGGCGACGGCGGGCCUCAAAAACAGUGGCGGCGCCGUCCGGUCCCUCAGCGUAGUAACUCUUCUCGCUGCUGGGCCCGGGCGGCCGCUGGCCAGAACCCCCAACUCUUUAUGGUUGACCUCGGAUCAGGUAGGGAUACCCGCUGAACUUAAGCAUAUCAAUAAGCGGAGGA
Molecule: unclassified non-coding RNA, 279 nt
Filed under: Chalara sp.
Lineage: Eukaryota; Fungi; Ascomycota; Leotiomycetes; Helotiales
Description: partial contains 5.8S ribosomal RNA, internal transcribed spacer 2, and large subunit ribosomal RNA
Rfam family: 5.8S ribosomal RNA (bases 1-71)
Source: RNAcentral